GACGAACGCUGGCGGCGUGCUUAACACAUGCAAGUCGAACGGAAAGGCCCUGCUUUUGUGGGGUGCUCGAGUGGCGAACGGGUGAGUAACACGUGAGUAUCCUGCCCUUGACUUUGGGAUAACUUCAGGAAACUGGGGCUAAUAUCGGAUAGGAGCUCCUGCUGCAUGGGGGGGGUUGGAAAGUUUCGGCGGUUGGGGAUGGACUCGCGGCUUAUCAGCUUGUUGGUGGGGUAGUGGCUUACCAAGGCUUUGACGGGUAGCCGGCCUGAGAGGGUGACCGGCCACAUUGGGACUGAGAUACGGCGCAGACUCCUACGGGAGGCAGCAGUGGGGAAUAUUGCACAAUGGGCGGAAGCGUGAUGCAGCAACGCCGCGUGCGGGAUGACGGCCUUCGGGUUGUAAACCGCUGUCGCCUGUGACGAAGCGUGAGUGACGGUAAUGGGUAAAGAAGCACCGGCUAACUACGUG
RNAcentral lists this ribosomal RNA (468 nucleotides) under uncultured bacterium. Its description in RNAcentral is "partial 16S ribosomal RNA". It matches the Rfam family "Bacterial small subunit ribosomal RNA", at positions 28 to 507 of the family's 1533-position model. The record is from RNAcentral.